GCCGUGGUCCAGUUGAAAGUGCAGUUGGAAGAGAGAGAGCACUGUCCAAGUUGGGGAAUAAAAAGCCAGAGGAAUGGGACAACAUUUGGACGCUGUCAUGUUUGGCCUGAGAACCAAGUAUUCACCUUUUUUUUUUAAUGUUUGGUAGAGAGGCGAGGUACCCCACUCAAAUUCCAGAUGAAUACAGAGUGGACAGCAGUGUGGAGGACGUUUUGUCUGUUGAAGAGACAACAGAGGAAAUUCUGAAGCUUGAUGAAGUGCUUCAGACUGCUUUAUCAAAUAGCAAAACAACACAAGCAAAAUAUCAUAAAAAAACAAAAGGCAGACCUAUUCCAAAUUUUCAAAUGGACAUGAAAGUGUGGAGGCUCAACAUGAGGAGCCAGCAGAGGAAAGUGGACAAGUUAGAUCCAAAUUACCUUGGCCACUAUAUGAUUAUUUGUAACUCUAAACUCUAGUACUUCA
This is a long non-coding RNA of Oreochromis niloticus (Nile tilapia), 462 nucleotides long. RefSeq lists it as uncharacterized. The record is from RefSeq and is a predicted model, not a curated record. The transcript is spliced from 4 exons. NCBI's taxonomy places the organism in Eukaryota, Metazoa, Chordata, Actinopteri, Cichliformes, Cichlidae.